GCGCGCCUUGAGGCCGCUCUGGCGGCUCCAUGCUGGUCAGUGCCGACCCCAUCGCGGUCCCGAGGCGGUGUGCGCCCUCUCCCGGAGGGGCUUUGCCGCCGAUGGGUGCGGGCUGAGGAGGAUGGAGGUGGAUUGUCUCCCCCCCCCCGCACCACCCGCCGCCGCGUGUGGGCUCCUGCUCCUCAGUGGCUUCGUUGAGCCUUGAAUACUGGGGGCUGUAGUACCCUGGAGCUUUUCUAAGUUGGCGUAGGGGUGGCUUUGAUGGGCGCCGACUUCGUGGGCAUCAGAGGCUAUGGGGUUGCACGUGGUGCAGUGCCAGCCAUGAUACAUCAAGCAAGUUCUUCCCUCGCUGGUAACUACAAAACUGCAGACCGAGACCUGAUGCUACUUGCUAAGGAUUUAAUGGAGGAAGUUGGAAGCUUCAUAGAAGGAAGAUUAUCUGGCCUGGAAGGUGAAUCCUGAUGAUGAAAGGCUGUGUUAAAUAGAUUGGCUUCGGAUGACCACCUGCCCGAUGUAUGGAGAUAAAAAUUCCAACUUGAACACAGUUCCAUAUUGUUUGCAGGGAGAGUAGAGCACAGGACACUUCAUACAAAGGCUUCCAGAGGGUGCUUGGAUAUCCUGACUGGGGUGACUUGGAUGUACAGAGUGCUGCUGUUAGCAGUGGUCCUGGCCCUGCCUUGAAUAAACUUGGCAUUAAUAUUAGAAGAUGAUGGAUGAUCAGGACAGCAUUUCAAGUGAGACACCCUCGUAUUGCCCUACGAUGGACACCACAAGGAAGGAGGAGAGGUAGACCAUUGGGGACGUGGCGAAGGACCAUUGAAGAGGAAAGGAAAGGGCUGGAGUGCACUCCUGGAAAAAGGAUCACUUUGCUGAGAGUAAAGUUGGUCAAACAUUCAGUGAAGCAAUCAGCCCUCUGCCUGCCUGAAAGAGAGCAAGAUUGGUUUGAAUGGACAGUUGAGGAAUCAGAAAGUGUUGAAGGCAUCAGAUUGUGUAUCCAGCAACUCCUAAGUGUCUCUGCCACCCCAUUUAGACUAUCAGUUUGGCCUGGAGUCCUUGCUCCACAGUCCUGCCUGCACUCAGAGCUCACCAGGACCAUUUAAGGGGCUUGCAAGGGUGUUGAAAGGACAGAUGAGGCAGCAGUACUUGCUGUGUUCUACGCUUGCCACAAUAAGUGACAUGACUUCUGGAUGAAGAGUAGUCUACAAAUUUGUGCAGAAAAGAUUACGUUCAGAAUGUCUUGUUGCCCCACUUGUCACAUGCUUCUACAUUGGUACACACUUUAGUCUGUUGCUAAAUAUCCAAUUAAGAAACUAGACUUGCUCUGAACUUUUGCCAUGUGUCUUUUAACCAGCACUAAGUAGACUUUAGAAGUAAAAUAACAGCUGUUUAAUUAAGAAAUUUGAAAUGUGCUAAAAUAAACUCAUCACAAAUGAUUA
This is a long non-coding RNA of Mauremys reevesii (Reeves's turtle), 1436 nucleotides long. RefSeq lists it as uncharacterized. The record is from RefSeq and is a predicted model, not a curated record. Lineage: Eukaryota; Metazoa; Chordata; Testudines; Geoemydidae. The transcript is spliced from 15 exons.